UGGCUCGGGACGAACGCUGGCGGCGCGCCUAACACAUGCAAGUCGAACGAGAGAUGAGGAGCUUGCUCUUCAAAUCGAGUGGCGAACGGGUGAGUAACGCGUGAGGAACCUGCCUCAAAGAGGGGGACAACAGUUGGAAACGACUGCUAAUACCGCAUAAGCCCACGGCUCGGCAUCGAGCAGAGGGAAAAGGAGCAAUCCGCUUUGAGAUGGCCUCGCGUCCGAUUAGCUAGUUGGUGAGGUAACGGCCCACCAAGGCGACGAUCGGUAGCCGGACUGAGAGGUUGAACGGCCACAUUGGGACUGAGACACGGCCCAGACUCCUACGGGAGGCAGCAGUGGGGAAUAUUGCACAAUGGGGGAAACCCUGAUGCAGCGACGCCGCGUGGAGGAAGAAGGUCUUCGGAUUGUAAACUCCUGUUGUUGAGGAAGAUAAUGACGGUACUCAACAAGGAAGUGACGGCUAACUACGUGCCAGCAGCCGCGGUAAAACGUAGGUCACAAGCGUUGUCCGGAAUUACUGGGUGUAAAGGGAGCGCAGGCGGGAGAACAAGUUGGAAGUGAAAUCCAUGGGCUCAACCCAUGAACUGCUUUCAAAACUGUUUUUCUUGAGUAGUGCAGAGGUAGGCGGAAUUCCCGGUGUAGCGGUGGAAUGCGUAGAUAUCGGGAGGAACACCAGUGGCGAAGGCGGCCUACUGGGCACCAACUGACGCUGAGGCUCGAAAGUGUGGGUAGCAAACAGGAUUAGAUACCCUGGUAGUCCACACCGUAAACGAUGAUUACUAGGUGUUGGAGGAUUGACCCCUUCAGUGGCGCAGUUAACACAAUAAGUAAUCCACCUGGGGAGUACGAAAGGAAGGUUGCAACUCAAAUGAAUUGACGG
RNAcentral lists this ribosomal RNA (883 nucleotides) under uncultured bacterium. Its description in RNAcentral is "bacterial SSU rRNA". It matches the Rfam family "Bacterial small subunit ribosomal RNA", at positions 20 to 916 of the family's 1533-position model. The record is from RNAcentral.